This is a long non-coding RNA of Portunus trituberculatus (swimming crab), 156 nucleotides long. RefSeq lists it as uncharacterized. Lineage: Eukaryota; Metazoa; Arthropoda; Malacostraca; Decapoda; Portunidae. The record is from RefSeq and is a predicted model, not a curated record. The transcript is spliced from 2 exons.
UUCUAUUGGGCGCCAGCGUACAUAAUUAUCUUUUGCUUCAAUGGAAAACAAUGAUUUCAAGAUGACUUACUAAUAGGCACACAAAUCUAUCUUUUAGAUGUGAAUCAUUUUUUGUGUGUGUGUGUGUGUGUGUGUGUGUGUGUGUGUGUGUGUGUG